RNAcentral lists this ribosomal RNA (439 nucleotides) under uncultured Bacteroidota bacterium. Its description in RNAcentral is "bacterial SSU rRNA". It matches the Rfam family "Bacterial small subunit ribosomal RNA", at positions 338 to 774 of the family's 1533-position model. The record is from RNAcentral. Lineage: Bacteria; Pseudomonadati; Bacteroidota.
CCUACGGGAGGCAGCAGUGAGGAAUAUUGGUCAAUGGGCGGAAGCCUGAACCAGCCAUGCCGCGUGCAGGAUGACGGCCCUACGGGUUGUAAACUGCUUUUGCACGGGAAGAAUAACCCCCUCGUGAGGGGGGAUGCCGGUACCGUGCGAAUAAUGAUCGGCUAACUCCGUGCCAUCAGCCGCGGUAAUACGGAGGAUCCGAGCGUUAUCCGGAUUUACUGGGUUUAAAGGGUGCGUAGGCGGGCGCCUAAGUCAGCGGUGAAAGGCAGCGGCUCAACCGUUGAACUGCCGUUGAAACUGGGCGCCUUGGAUUCGGUCGGGGCCGGCGGAAUGCGUGGUGUAACGGCGAAAUGCUUAUAUAUCACGCGGAACGCCUAUCGCGAAAGCAGCUGGACAGGCCGAGAUCGACGCUGAGGCACGAAAGCGUGUGGAUCAAACA